Molecule: long non-coding RNA, 830 nt
Filed under: Mustela putorius furo (domestic ferret)
Lineage: Eukaryota; Metazoa; Chordata; Mammalia; Carnivora; Mustelidae
Description: lncRNA (ENSMPUG00000028693.1)
Source: RNAcentral
UUCUAAACAUUGUACUGCUUGGAAUUAAACCUUUUUCUCAUUAUAUGUUGAGGAGUGUUCUUCAACCUGAAGAUCGCAGAACCUAUGACUUUAAAUACUCAUCAAUUGUUCCAGUGAUCCCUUGUCUAGGUGGGUUUUAGGUACAAUGAUAUUUCCUGUCAAGUCGCAGUGUCUGCCCCAUGUGACCCCAGGCAUACCCAGUCCGUCUUUGAGGAUAAACCUCUUCGGGGUGCGGGGGGUGGGUGCAGGCAUUGUAAUAGUUGUAUGGUCUCCACGAUCGGUUCCUGAAAUCCUAUUUUCCCUACUAACGCUUUUCCUGGGAGUAAAUGAGUCUCCCUCAGGAAAGCCUUGACAUCAUCAUAGUCAGCUUCCAGAGGCGCAGCCCAGGAUGCGAGGAGCCCGCUGGGCAGACCCUCAGGGAAAAGAGGGAGAAACCCUUUUUUGGUUGCUAAAGUAACGGAAUAUCAUCCAGUCAUCAAAACACUCAGACUAGAGCUGAAAUUUAUAAAAGAGCAUGAAGAAUUCACUUGCCCUUGGCAUGUUAUUCAGAGUUCAACAUUGCGGUGGAAGUGGGAAAAUGCUAUUUCAUAAUAAACACGAGCACUUUGUAUAUGUCAGGAGCUGUGCAAAGUCAUCUAUGUGGGAUUCUGGAAGCUCCCACGCCUCCCCCGGGGUUACAGCUCCGGCCUUAAUGACGGCUGUGGCUGCGACUUCUACCUGCACUCGGCCCAGAUUCGCACGGAGACCGGGGGACGGUGCUGUGGCAAAGUAAUCCGAUGACCCUGCAUAACACAACAGAAGGGAAACCAACAGUUUAAAAGGAAUCUCAG